Molecule: long non-coding RNA, 498 nt
Organism: Sebastes umbrosus (honeycomb rockfish)
Lineage: Eukaryota; Metazoa; Chordata; Actinopteri; Perciformes; Sebastidae
Exons: 2
Source: RefSeq, a predicted model, not a curated record
GUGUCCCUUAGGGGCUGGAGUGGUAUAUACUUUUGUAUUUUAUGAUUUUAUGCUUUUCUAAAAAAGUCUUUGAAAAAGCCCCGAUAGGAGACCCUAUCUAUAGACCUUAUUUAUAGGCUAUAUUAAUAUAUUUACUAAUACUAUAUACUCUUGUUUCUUCUGAUUUUUUUAUAGCAGAGGAAGUUGCAGUGACUGAACCUGUACCUGAGCCUGCACCAGAACCUGCACCUGCACCAGAACCUGCACCAGAGCCUGAAGCUGAACCUGCAAUACGUGUUAGGAGAGCCGGAGAAGCAGUACGAAGACGUUAUCGGAGGCUUUCGAUGACCCAUCAACAGCAAAGGAGGAUGACCAGAGCCCCCCACACCUUCCGUGACAAGCAGUUAUACCUUCGAGGAAUCGUUGAUAUGUUUAAUGCAGGGAUCCAGGGAAUUAUUUCCGUAGCUCAAAACAUGUAAGGUGUGACAUUUUUUGAAGGUGGGACAAAAAAACAAAAAA